RNAcentral lists this ribosomal RNA (468 nucleotides) under uncultured bacterium. Its description in RNAcentral is "partial 16S ribosomal RNA". It matches the Rfam family "Bacterial small subunit ribosomal RNA", at positions 28 to 507 of the family's 1533-position model. The record is from RNAcentral.
GACGAACGCUGGCGGCGUGCUUAACACAUGCAAGUCGAACGGAAAGGCCCUGCUUUUGUGGGGUGCUCGAGUGGCGAACGGGUGAGUAACACGUGAGUAACCUGCCCUUGACUUUGGGAUAACUUCAGGAAACUGGGGCUAAUGCCGGAUAGGAGCUCCUGCUGCAUGGUGGGGGUUGGAAAGUUUCGGCGGGUGGGGAUGGACUCGCGGCUUAUCAGCUUGUUGGUGGGGUAGUGGCUUACCAAGGCUUUGACGGGUAGCCGGCCUGAGAGGGUGACCGGCCACAUUGGGACUGAGAUACGGCCCAGACUCCUACGGGAGGCAGCAGUGGGGAAUAUUGCACAAUGGGCGGAAGCCUGAUGCAGCAACGCCGCGUGCGGGAUGACGGCCUUCGGGUUGUAAACCGCUUUCGCCUGUGACGAAGCGUGAGUGACGGUAAUGGGUAAAGAAGCACCGGCUAACUACGUG